ACAGUAUUGGAAAGUCAAUAUAAAGAGAAAUAUCGCUGCAGUAAAGGUCGGGUACCCGAAACUCAUUUCCAAGAUAUGGCGUGGUAUACCAAAUAACAUAGAUACAGUGUUUCCUUACAAGGAUGGCAAAUUAUAUUUUUUUAAAGAUAAUUAUUAUUACAAGCUUAACUUCCAUACGUCUAGAGUUGUAAAGGAAAACCCACCUUAUCCCCACGAUGCUAGAAAUUCUUGGUUUGGCUGUAAUGAUCCAUAAAUUAGCGCUUUAUAAACAAGUGUACAAGUAAAAUAAUUAAAAUGAAAAAUUUGAAAUUCGUAAUUUUUUUUUUAAAGAUUGUUUGGGAUACACACAGUGAGUUGGUGCAUUUCCUGAAYAUCCGGAACCAAAUCCAGAAUUUCAGUGCUCCAGUUGUUAAAGAUAUUAUUUAUAUGAACAUUUUACUUAUAUUUUAAUUUUAUUAGGUAUUGGUUUUGAUUUAUGUUUAUUUAUUAAUAAUUUUAUAUAAUUAUGAUCGUUUUAUCUGAAUAAAUAACUUGUUUACGUUA
This is a long non-coding RNA of Diuraphis noxia (Russian wheat aphid), 543 nucleotides long. The record is from RefSeq and is a predicted model, not a curated record. Lineage: Eukaryota; Metazoa; Arthropoda; Insecta; Hemiptera; Aphididae.